Molecule: ribosomal RNA, 253 nt
Filed under: uncultured bacterium
Lineage: Bacteria
Description: partial 16S ribosomal RNA
Rfam family: Bacterial small subunit ribosomal RNA
Source: RNAcentral
UACGUACGAGGCGAGCGUUAUCCGGAAUUAUUGGGCGUAAAGCGCGCGCAGGCGGACCGUUAAGUCAGACGUGAAAUCUCCCGGCCUAACUGGGAGGGGACGUUUGAGACUGGCGGACUUGAGGACGGCAGAGGUCGGUGGAAUUCCUGGUGUAGUGGUGAAAUGCGUAGAGAUCAGGAGGAACACCGGUGGCGAAGGCGGCCGACUGGGCCGUCACUGACGCUGAGGCGCGAAAGCUCGGGGAGCGAACGGG